CUCUGUCUUGCGCUCUCUCUCACUCUCUUUCCCUCCCUCUGUCUUGCGCUCUCUCUCACUCUCUUUCCCUCUCUCUCUCUUGCACUCUCUCUCUCACGCUCUCUAUCUCUCUCUCUGUCUUGCGCUCUCUCUCACUCUCUUUCCCUCCCUCUGUCUUGCGCUCUUUCUCACGCUCUUUCCCUCCCUCUGUCUUGCGCUCUCUCUCACUCUCUUUCCCUCUCUCUCUCUUGCGCUCUCUCUCUCACGCUCUCUAUCUCUCUCUCUGUCUUGCGCUCUCUCUCACUCUCUUUCCCUCCCUCUGUCUUGCGCUCUUUCUCACGCUCUUUCCCUCCCUCUGUCUUGCGCUCUCUCUCACUCUCUUUCCCUCCCUCUGUCUUGCGCUCUCUCUCACUCUCUUUCCCUCCCUCUGUCUUGCGCUCUCUCUCACUCUCUUUCCCUCCCUCUGUCUUGCGCUCUUUCUCACUCUCUUUCCCUCCCUCUGUCUUGCGCUCUCUCGUGACUCUACAUUCACAGAUCCAUUGUAUAAUGUUAUCCUGUGAUCCUCCUCUUCUCUUCUUCUAUUUAUUCAACUUAAAACCAUUUUACAGUAAAAAGACAUGAGGUGGAAACGUCAACCUGUCAGGAUAAAAUGUCUUCACACACAUUCCCAGACAGAAUACUGAUAUUUCACAUUCUGUUUCUUCUUACCUUCCAAGCCUUCCACUACACCGACUGGAUAUCUAUGAUCCUACACUCAGUGACUCUAACUUUAUGGAUAUAUUGUUUAUAAUGGAUACACACCCCCAUCCACAUCGACGGGAUCGAUGUGGAUGGGGACCGCAGUGGAGAAGGUGAAAAGUUUCAAGUUCCAUCGGCGUACACAUCGCUGACAAUCUGAAAUGGUCCACCCACACAGACAGUGUGGUGAAGAAAGUGCAACAACAACUCUUCAACCUCGGGAGGCUGAAGAAAUUCGGCUUGGCCCCUAAGACCUUCACAAAUUUUUAUAGAUGCACGAUUGAGAGCAUCCUGUCGGGCUGUAUCACCGCCUGGUACGGCAACUGCACCACCCUCAACCGAAGCGCUCUCCAGAGGGUAGUGCAGUCUGCUCAAAGCAUCACCGGGGACAUACUGCCGUCCUCCAGGACACCUACAGUACCCGAUGUCACAGGAAGGCCAAAAAGAUCAUCAAGGACAUCAACCACCCGAGCCAUGGCCUGUAUUCACCCCGCUAUCAUCCAGAAGGCAAGCCCUCCUGGUUUUGACCCUUGCCUUUCCUGACGCUGUAUCCACCUGCCUGAACACUCUGCCUGUUCUGACCUCGAGCCUGCCUAUCCCCUUGUGCUGUUUGGACAUGGACCUGUUCACUGAACCCCUACCUGUCCUGACCUAGAGUCUGCCUAUCGCCUGGUGCUGUUUGGACUCUGUCCUGGUUUAUGAACUCUCGCCUGGCCCCGACCUGCCUUUUGCCAACCCCUUUUGGUAUAAUAAAUAUCGGAGCUCAACCAUCUGCCUCCUGUGUCUGCAUUUGGGUCUCGCCUUGUGCUCUUAUAAAAAAAUUGACAGCUGUGCCAUAUAGAUUGCAAAAUAGUUGGGAAGAGAUUUUCAACGUACCGAUUCCAUGGCACAUGGUUUAUGAACUGAUACGCAAAAUGACGCCAAAUUUAAAACUUAAAAUGAUUAUACAAAAAUUCUUGCAACCAAUAAAAUGUUAUAGAGAGAC
RNAcentral lists this long non-coding RNA (1702 nucleotides) under Salmo salar (Atlantic salmon). Its description in RNAcentral is "lncRNA (ENSSSAG00000090993.1)". Lineage: Eukaryota; Metazoa; Chordata; Actinopteri; Salmoniformes; Salmonidae. The record is from RNAcentral.